This 497-nucleotide ribosomal RNA is filed under the name uncultured bacterium. RNAcentral's name for it is "partial 16S ribosomal RNA". It matches the Rfam family "Bacterial small subunit ribosomal RNA", at positions 28 to 507 of the family's 1533-position model. The record is from RNAcentral.
GAUGAACGCUGGCGGCGUGCCUAAUACAUGCAAGUCGAGCGAACAGACGAGGAGUUUGUUCCUCUGACGUUUUCCGCGCACGUGUGAGUAACACGUGGAUACUCUCUCUUAAAGACUGGUAAAACUUCGGGACACCGGAUCUAAUCCCGUAAAAGUUAUUGAUCCGUAUGGUUCAAUUGUAAAAUACGGUUUUAUCGUUACCUAUUGAAGGUUCCUCGCCGCAUUAGCUAGUUGGUAAGGUAACGGCUUACCAAGGCAACGAUGCGUAGCCGACCUGAGAGGGUGAUCGGCCACACUGGAACUGAGACACGGUCCAGACUCCUACGGGAGGCAGAAGUAGGGAAUCUUCCGCAAUGGGCGAAAGCCUGACGGAGAAACGCCGCGGGAGUGAUGAAGGUCUUCGGAUCGUAAAACUCUGUUAUUAGGGAAGAACAAAUGUGUAAGUAACUAUGCACGUCUUGACGGUACCUAAUCAGAAAGCCACGGCUAACUACGUG